GAUGACAUUCUGGUCUUGCGCAACGGAAUGCUUUGAACCGUGUCAGGUCCUGACGGAAGCAGCACUAAGGAGAUUUUUCCGUGUGCCGCAAGGUUGCCGGAAGGGAACUUCG
Molecule: signal recognition particle RNA, 112 nt
Filed under: Syntrophobotulus glycolicus DSM 8271
Lineage: Bacteria; Bacillati; Bacillota; Clostridia; Eubacteriales; Desulfitobacteriaceae
Description: RNA component of signal recognition particle
Rfam family: Bacterial small signal recognition particle RNA (bases 7-106)
About the family: The signal recognition particle (SRP) is a universally conserved ribonucleoprotein involved in the co-translational targeting of proteins to membranes.
Source: RNAcentral